RNAcentral lists this long non-coding RNA (1126 nucleotides) under Olea europaea (common olive). RNAcentral describes it as "long non-coding RNA (OEUR_LNC013069)". Lineage: Eukaryota; Viridiplantae; Streptophyta; Magnoliopsida; Lamiales; Oleaceae. The record is from RNAcentral.
UCAAGAAUUAUCUAAGGCUUUAGCACAUUUCAUUUGCAUCAAGAUAGCCCUCAUUUUCUAGCUUCACAUAUUAAAGUCUCCCCUCCCAUCAUACAUGCUCACUUCAAACUUAGCAGAGGCCAUGACAAGAUUUACUAAGAUAGUUCACAAAAUACAAGUUUGAGUUCAAGAACACACAGGGACAUACAACAAGAAUACUGUAGGUAGAACAAGGGAUUUGGGGUCAGUAACCAAUGCACUUAUUUCAAGUUUUCACAAAAUAGUAAAAACUUAACACUAAGUAUAGAAGGCAGAAUCACAAAGAACAGAGAUGUCAAUCCUGUGCCUCAACUAACUUCUCCAGCAAGACAUUCCAAUUGCAAUCCUACUAGUAUUCUUGAGUCUUUGGACAAAGACGAGCCACAAUAGGUUUUGUUAGUGCAAGGUAAAUCAAGGGAAAAAUUUGGAGACCCUAUUGUAAAGAUUAAUUAUAAAAUGCAAGAAAGAUUUCACCAAUGAGUUUGAUAAAACUCAAUUUCCACUAGCCAAUAUUUACUGUAGGUUUCAGAAAUCAUGUUUAAUCAAGAAAUCACAAAGCUCUAGUAGUCCAGGUUGCUCUAAUACCACUGAAAAUUCGAGAGAUACUAAAUAUUAACCAAGAUUUCAAAACCACAAUCAUAAACUGAAAAUAAAGUGCAGAAUAUAUAAAUGAACACAGAGAAUUUUUUGGUCGAACCCUCAGAGGUUCGAUGACCACUUCUAACGCCUAAUCCCCUAUUGAGCAUCCAUUAAAAUGGAUAAAACUCGGUUGCACUAUAAAGCCCAAAAAUCAGGCAUCAAAUAUACAAUAAUGUUCCAGAAAAUACAACAAUUAAAGUCACCAAGACUUAUCUUUAAAAUAAGGCACAAAUCAAGCCUCACUCCACUAAGGAUUCAAAACCCGGAUCACAUAGAUCACCAAAACCGAACUACCCUCCUCGAACCACAAAAAAUGGGUGCUCUUUCACAGAAUAUUACUUUCCACCAAGGAACUAUACAAAUCAGCCUCUAUAUUAUACAUUAAUAGGCUGAAAAACACUAAGUUUUUCGUAAUAAAAGUGGGCAACAAAGAGUCACACGGAUUUGACUCAACCAAGACCAACUUAGC